Molecule: transfer RNA, 77 nt
Filed under: Cohnella xylanilytica
Lineage: Bacteria; Bacillati; Bacillota; Bacilli; Caryophanales; Paenibacillaceae
Also listed under: 4 other names
Description: tRNA-Arg
Rfam family: tRNA
About the family: Transfer RNA (tRNA) molecules are approximately 80 nucleotides in length. Their secondary structure includes four short double-helical elements and three loops (D, anti-codon, and T loops).
Source: RNAcentral
GCGCCCUUAGCUCAGCUGGAUAGAGCGUUAGACUACGAAUCUAAAGGCCGGGAGUUCGAAUCUCUCAGGGCGCGCCA